Molecule: transfer RNA, 69 nt
Filed under: Sphaerodactylus townsendi
Lineage: Eukaryota; Metazoa; Chordata; Lepidosauria; Squamata; Sphaerodactylidae
Description: tRNA-Val
Source: RNAcentral
GUCAUGGAUUAGAGGCAGAGUGUCUUCUUCACAUGUAGAAGGUCUGAGGUUCAAUCCCCGGUAUCUCCA